This is a long non-coding RNA of Anguilla rostrata (American eel), 2863 nucleotides long. RefSeq lists it as uncharacterized. NCBI's taxonomy places the organism in Eukaryota, Metazoa, Chordata, Actinopteri, Anguilliformes, Anguillidae. The record is from RefSeq and is a predicted model, not a curated record. The transcript has 3 exons.
GCUCAAAAGGAGAAGGUCAGGACUGGGGUAGUUAUCGGAAGCGGAUAUGGCGGGUGGUUUAAAAUGAUAGUUGAGCAAACGAGUUCUGAAGGCCAAACAAAUUGGACUGAAAAUGAGUUUUACAUGCAGUACUGCAGUUUAGGAAGCGUUAGCUCAUGGUCGUGCCGAUCAGUUCGCCUUGGUCCCGCUGGGGGUUUUUUUCUAUCAGGAGUUUGGCGUCUAUUUGAUUUUUCCCCUCAUUCCUGGUUGGCUUGUCCCCUUUCCUGUGCACCUGCCUAAUCUCUGCCCAGCCAAGUACAUCACAAAAAUUAAUUGCAUAUUAAAACUGAAGAGACAAACUACAACCAAAGGCCGACAAUGCACCGAUCAGGAGGCCUGAAGACUGGGCUCGGGAAACGCGACGUAAAUGAAGAAAGCCCCCAAGUGUCCCAACGCUGCAGAGCCUGUCCCUGGGAGCCAGAGCCCAAAUGAGACUGAGUUACUGCUGCUGAAGAGGGGGGGUCCAGAUCAUAAACAUCUACACGCAUCACUACACGCAAACAUCGGGAUCAGAAUGGCAGUCAGCAGCCGUGCGGCGAGAAGAACAGCUGACCCUCGCUGCGAUUAAGUGAACGAAGCAGCCAGGGGCGUCCAGUCAAGAUGGAGCCAGCCCACCAUGAUUGAUUGCACCGGUUUGGCCUGCGCUGUCCGUGGUGCUGAACCGAUCCUGGUCCGGAGGGUGGUUUCCAGAAGCAUGAGAUCACUCGACGAGGACACAACAUCGAUUUUGCUACCGGUCCUUACAUCACCCAACGUUUGUUGAUGUUGGUUUUGGUUCUUGGUAAACCGUAGCCUCUGGUUGUGCAGCUCUGUGAAAAGAAAGGUGUGGCUUCAGAUAGAGGCAUUCAUGCAACUGAUACGAGAGCAGCACCUUCCAGGGAUACCGCCCCCCAAGCCAGUGUCCCCUUUACCAGCCAGAUUGCAUUACAGCGUUUGAUCUCGGUUCUGGGGAGAUAUUAUUCUUGCCUGAACUUCUUUACAGAUUUUGAAAGGAAACCAUGUUCUGCUCACAUUUUUACCUGCUGUGUUUUCAGCCUUUUAACUAUGAUUUAAUUAUUAAGGACCCCGCCACCAAAAGCACGCAUCUGGCAUCAUGCUAACAUCUAAAGUUUGCUGACAGUUUGUUUUAAUCAUUGUUUGAAUAACAUAACCCAUAUACAUCUUUAAUGAUCUUGGAUUGAAAUGAAAUGUUCUGAGGAAUGAGUUGGGUUAUGUUUUGAAGACCUGCGGUUUGUGCUACGCGUGCAGUAUGAACAUGAAGCUGGCAUGGAUAGCAUGCAGUCAUUAUUUUUCAGGCCUUCAGUUGGUUAUUUUUAGGGAGGCUGAAGUAAAUUGCUGCCAAAUAAUACAUUAAAAGGACUGGGCCAAGCCUGACCUGUAAUGUGCUAGACCACUUUCAUCAGCUGGGCCCUCUCCAGGCAUCGAAUACAGAACCUGCUUGCCUCCAGGCAUUCCUGCUUCAGGACAGACCAAAAUUAGGGGGUGGGGAGUUGACACACACACUUUCACUGAGAAGCAGACAAAGGAAUUUAUUUCUUUAUUUUACUUUUGAUGUGCUUUUUUCCACGAUUUCUUGAAAGUGUGUUGUUAUUAAAAUGGCCUAAUUUGACUUUCAUUUGUAGAGAAAGGUACGGAAAUGAUUAGUGUUUUUACGGGCCCUAAAAUGGUCAGCUGUUAAAACCAGGACUUGUUGUCAAGAGACAGAUAAAAAAAAAAACCAACACAGCCAGUUUGCCACCCAUAAACACUGCUGGUUGGGCUUAGUCAGCAAGGGAAGAGUAUGAGUGCACACUGCUAAGCAACCUAACACACUCUCACUCGAUGUGCCUGACACUCACAACUGCUCCCUGAGCCUGUUUCCUCUUUACCUCUAAAGCACAUAAAAACCCCGCCCACUGAGUCUGUUUCCUCUUUACCUCUAAAGCACAUAAAAACCCCGCCCACUGAGUCUGUUUCCUCCUUACCUUUAAAGCACAUAAAAACCCCGCCCACUGAGCCUGUUUCCUCUUUACUUCUAAAGCACAUAAAAACCCCGCCCACUGAGUCUGUUUCCUCCUUACCUUUAAAGCACAUAAAAACCCCGCCCACUGAGCCUGUUUCCUCUUUACCUCUAAAGCACAUAAAAACCCCGCCCACUGAGUUCGUUCACGCAGGAAAAGUUGACUCUCCCCGAUGAAGACUUUUCUUGCUGAUAUUAUUAUUAUUAUUGUUAUUUUUAUUCCAUUGUGGAGCAGCUCAUGGGCAAAUCUUGUAAUGAUUUAGUGUAACUAUCAUACUUAUUGCAUUUCUUUCUAACAACAUUGUUUUAUAUUUUAUUAAGAACCUGAAAUUGAACACCUGGGAAUGUGUUUGAACAUGCCAAACAUCUGCAAAUUGAUGGGAUUUACUGAGUAUAUUUAUAAAGGACUAAAUGACUGUUUCUAAAGGCGGAAAUAGAGCCUGUAUAUUUUAUCACUGGUCUGAUCAGGUCAUUUUGACCAGAACCAAUUAAACUCUAGUGUACAGAGACAACUGUGUUCUGCCAGUGUGACCUUUGACCCCAACAGGCAUUACUCAACCAGCCUCUCCUUCAGAGUGCAGCUGCUGGUUUUAGUAAUGAGGACAGAACCUCUGGCUCCUCCCACAGGGUUAAAAUAUAGUGAGCAAAGUCCCUUCUCUUUCAGAUGCCAAUGGAUAAUUUAAUGUUUUUACAGAACAGAUUUUUAAAAUUAUGUCAGAACAAUAUCUUUAACUGCCAAAAUCCCUAAUUCAGGUGCUUUGGUUUCAUUGCUGGAACUCUCUGUGCCCCCUGCACAUGUGAGUAAUAAAAUACCAGAGGAAUGUG